Molecule: long non-coding RNA, 1198 nt
Filed under: Homo sapiens (human)
Lineage: Eukaryota; Metazoa; Chordata; Mammalia; Primates; Hominidae
Description: non-protein coding lnc-PTMS-2:1
Source: RNAcentral
GCCCCCUGGCGCGGGUGGUGAGAUGGCUGGGGCCGAGUCCCAGGGGCGCCGGGGCCAUGGGCCAAGCUCAGGGGAGCAGAGCCUGAGGCCGAGAGGGGUCCCCUGGGCACGAAGAAGGGGAGCUCAUUAGUAACCUCGAUUUGGGUUCUGUGGACUGGAAGAGGCUCCCAUAAGGCAGGGGAGGAGAAGGAGAAGAGGAAUCCAUUCUUCGGGAGGGACCGGGUUGGAGGUUGAACCUGGGGGCGCAGUGCAGCACGUUCUCUCUCCCUCCUCAAGGGGAAACUGGAGGACGAGGGGCAGAUGCCCCUUGGGGAGAGGCGGGCGCUCUGUGGGCGACGAGGCGGGGCGGAUCCCUGGGGGGAGCUUUAAGCCGACUCUACUGGAGAAGCAGUCUACCCUAGAGGGAGGAUGGGCAGUUUUCCUGCGGGGGAGGCGCUUGGGCCUGUCCCCGCUUGAGGAGGAGCGUUCCUGGCAGGGCGGAGUCCCCGGAGUGACGCAGAGGAGGUGAAACUCUCCAGCCCAGAUCUAGUUCGGGCUUCAGAAAGUCGGAUGGGGCAGAGGAUCCAGGUUGGGGGGUUGGCCGCCAGAUGGCGCUCCUCGGCCAGGCUGGAACCGGAGGCCCUUGAGAACUCGCGUUGGAGAGGGACCUGGACCCUCCCCCGUUACCCAUCUGUGAAGGGUUGGACUGGGGAAAGGCUACAGUUCUGAAUCUAUUAGUUUAAUGCCACUCUCCCCUUCCUUUUACUCUAAUUCUUGUGUCCUCAAGAGCUCCCAGUCCUGCACUGACCUUUCUUGGUUGCUUUCUUAGGUCAAAGGUCUAAAGUUUGGGGGAACAAAGGAGUGGAGAGCUCAGUUAACCUGGAUCACCCAGGGGAGGAGCUAAAACGGGGCCCAGAAGACCUGCCUCCAAGGCCAGAGACUGAUACUUUGACAUACUAAAUGUCUUGCAUAAAAUCUGGCUCUGCUGGAGAGAAGGGCCUUCCCCUUUGGGGUCAGGGCAUUUGGACUGUCUAGGAUGGACUUUAACCAGACUCAUCCAAACUCCAGCUUUCCCUGGUUCUUUACUCUGGCUUUUAGCCAUAUUAGUGCUGUGUGGAGUCUGACCCAAUGAGAAAGACUUGUUCCCAGUAAUUCCCUGGGGGAGAAAGAGGGGGUCCCUGGUGACUCAGGAAAAGGUGCUAGGAACAGGGCUUCUCAC